Molecule: ribosomal RNA, 440 nt
Filed under: uncultured bacterium
Lineage: Bacteria
Description: bacterial SSU rRNA
Rfam family: Bacterial small subunit ribosomal RNA
Source: RNAcentral
AACGAACGCUGGCGGCAGGCUUAACACAUGCAAGUCGAACGGGCACCUUCGGGUGUCAGUGGCAGACGGGUGAGUAACGCGUGGGAACGUACCCUUCGGUUCGGAAUAACCCAGGGAAACUUGGGCUAAUACCGGAUACGUCCGUAAGGAGAAAGAUUUAUUGCCGAAGGAUCGGCCCGCGUCGGAUUAGCUAGUUGGUGGGGUAAUGGCCCACCAAGGCGACGAUCCGUAGCUGGUCUGAGAGGAUGANCAGCCACACUGGGACUGAGACACGGCCCAGACUCCUACGGGAGGCAGCAGUGGGGAAUAUUGGACAAUGGGCGAAAGCCUGAUCCAGCCAUGCCGCGUGAGUGAAGAAGGCCUUAGGGUUGUAAAGCUCUUUCAGCGGGAAGAUAAUGACGGUACCCGCAGAAGAAGUCCCGGCUAACUUCGUGCCAGCC